CCUUUGUUUAUUCGAAGCACCCGAAAACUUCCAGCUGGCAUCCCUGCAUCCCAAAGAUUGGCUUUCCUCGGGCCAGGUGACAGUUGUCCUGGUUUUGUCACCCCUUCGGAAGAGUUGGGUUAAGCCCCCCCCCGGCCCACCCUGAUCUUAGUUCCAGCUUCAGUUGGGCCUCUUAGGUGCCCGCCGGUGCCCAACCGGAGGGAGGGGGGGAUGCCGUUCAAUCCUCAUGCCCCUUAUGACCUGGGCCACCCCCUGCUACAAUGGACAGAACAAAGGGCUGCAAGACCGCAAGGUUUAGCCAAUCCCAUAAUCUGUUCUCAGUUCGGAUCCAGUCUGCAACUCGCUGCGUGAAGCUGGAAUCGCUUGUAAUCGCGGAUCAGAUGCCGCGGUGAAUACGUUUCCGGGCCUUGUACACCCCCCCCCUCCCACCACGAGAGUUUGCAACACCCGAAGUCGGUGAGGUAACCUUUAUGGA
Molecule: ribosomal RNA, 475 nt
Filed under: Bacillus safensis
Lineage: Bacteria; Bacillati; Bacillota; Bacilli; Caryophanales; Bacillaceae
Description: partial 16S ribosomal RNA
Rfam family: Bacterial small subunit ribosomal RNA
Source: RNAcentral